RNAcentral lists this non-coding RNA (259 nucleotides) under Triticum aestivum (bread wheat). RNAcentral's name for it is "Bacterial small subunit ribosomal RNA". It matches the Rfam family "Bacterial small subunit ribosomal RNA", at positions 950 to 1133 of the family's 1533-position model. Lineage: Eukaryota; Viridiplantae; Streptophyta; Magnoliopsida; Poales; Poaceae. RNAcentral also lists the same sequence under 1 other name. The record is from Rfam by way of RNAcentral.
AUAGGAACAAAGCGAAGAACCUUACCAGGGCUUGACAUGCCGCGAAUCCUCUUGAAAGAGAGGGGUGCCCUCGGGAACGCGGACACAGGUGGUGCAUGGCUGUCGUCAGCUCGUGCCGUAAGGUGUUGGGGGGUGAACCAAAUUCUCAUUGAAUUUUAUUUUUCCAUUCGAAGGGGAUCGUACAAGGUCAGCAGUACCCCCUGUGAAUACUCCGCCAGUAUGAAAAGUUCUUAAUGUUAGUCAGCACCUGCUGCUCUAG